UUGACCUCGGAUCAGGUAGGGAUACCCGCUGAACUUAAGCAUAUCAAUAAGCGGAGGAAAAGAAACCAACAGGGAUUGCCUCAGUAACGGCGAGUGAAGCGGCAACAGCUCAAAUUUGAAAUCUGGCCCCGUCGGGGUCCGAGUUGUAAUUUGUAGAGAGUGUUUCGGGUGAGACCACGGUCUAAGUCUAUUGGAACAUGGCGUCAUAGAGGGUGAGAAUCCCGUAUGUGACCGUGGCUCGAGCCCAUGUGAAGCCUCUUCGACGAGUCGAGUUGUUUGGGAAUGCAGCUCAAAAUGGGUGGUAAAUUUCAUCUAAAGCUAAAUACUGGCUGGAGACCGAUAGCGCACAAGUAGAGUGAUCGAAAGAUGAAAAGCACUUUGGAAAGAGAGUCAAAAAGUACGUGAAAUUGUUGAAAGGGAAGCGCUUGCAACCAGACCUGUCCGUAGGUGAUCAGCCGCUGUUCUCAGCGGUGCACUCGCUCUGCGAUCAGGCCAGCAUCGGUUUCGGCGGUCGGAUAAAGGCCUUGGGAAUGUAGCUUCUUUCGGGGAGUCUUAUAGCCCUCGGUGCAAUGCGGCCA
This 578-nucleotide ribosomal RNA is filed under the name Usnea fragilescens. Its description in RNAcentral is "eukaryotic LSU rRNA". It matches the Rfam family "Eukaryotic large subunit ribosomal RNA", at positions 1 to 581 of the family's 3401-position model. Lineage: Eukaryota; Fungi; Ascomycota; Lecanoromycetes; Lecanorales; Parmeliaceae. The record is from RNAcentral.